GCGAGUCGUUGUAGCAAUACAAGGCGGACGGCUCAGUAACACGUAGUCAACCUCACCUAUGGACGUGGAUAACCUCGGGAAACUGAGAAUAGACCGCGAUAGAUCAUGAUGCCUGGAAUGGCUUAUGGUCCAAACAAUUUAUUGCCGUAGGAUGGGACUGCGGCCUAUCAGCUUGUUAGUGAGGUAAUGGCCCACCAAGGCUAUAACAGGUACGGGCUCUGAGAGGAGAAGCCCGGAGAUGGGUACUGAGACACGGACCCAGGCCCUAUGGGGCGCAGCAGGCGAGAAAACUUUGCAAUGUGCGAAAGCACGACAAGGUUAAUCCGAGUGAUUUCUGCUAAAGGAAUCUUUUGUUAGUCCUAAAAACACUAGUGAAUAAGGGGUGGGCAAGUUCUGGUGUCAGCCGCCGCGGUAAAACCAGCACCUCAAGUGGUCAGGAGGAUUAUUGGGCCUAAAGCAUCCGUAGCCGGCUAUGCAAGUCUCCGGUUAAAUCCAACUG
Molecule: ribosomal RNA, 499 nt
Filed under: uncultured archaeon
Lineage: Archaea
Description: bacterial SSU rRNA
Rfam family: Archaeal small subunit ribosomal RNA
Source: RNAcentral